GGAGUGGGUCAGGCAGCCGCUGCCUGUUCAGAAUUCUGUUCUGAGCGGGGGGAGGAAAGUCCGGGCUUCGCAGGGCAGGAUGCUGGCUAACGGCCAGGCGUUAUAAGUCUGUAACAAGACCCAAGGCGACGGAAAGUGCAACAGAGAACAGACCGCCGAUGGCUCCGCAAGGAGAUCAGGCAAGGGUGAAACGGUGGAGUAAGCGCCCACCGCAGGACUGGCAACAGGACUGGCAUGGCAAACCCCAUCCGAAGCAAGACCAAAUAGGGAAGCACACGGCGUGGCCCGCGCCGCUUCCGGGUAGGUCGCUUGAGCCGCGCAGCAAUGCGCGGCCUAGAGGAAUGGCUGCCAGAGGAUGCAAAUUCUCUACAGAACCCGGCUUAUCGACCGACUCCCCCU
This 399-nucleotide RNase P RNA is filed under the name Zoogloeaceae bacterium. RNAcentral describes it as "RNase P RNA component class A". It matches the Rfam family "Bacterial RNase P class A". Rfam says of the family: Ribonuclease P (RNase P) is a ubiquitous endoribonuclease, found in archaea, bacteria and eukarya as well as chloroplasts and mitochondria. The record is from RNAcentral. Lineage: Bacteria; Pseudomonadati; Pseudomonadota; Betaproteobacteria; Rhodocyclales; Zoogloeaceae.